This 253-nucleotide ribosomal RNA is filed under the name uncultured prokaryote. RNAcentral describes it as "partial 16S ribosomal RNA". It matches the Rfam family "Bacterial small subunit ribosomal RNA", at positions 524 to 776 of the family's 1533-position model. The record is from RNAcentral.
UACAGGGGGUGCAAACGUUGCUCGGAAUCAUUGGGCGUAAAGCGCACGUAGGCGGUCUGUUAUGUCGGAUGUGAAAGCCCUAGGCUCAACCUAGGAAGUGCUUUUGAUACUGCAAAGCUUGAGUGUGGGAGAGGAUCGUGGAAUUCCAGGUGUAGUGGUGAAAUACAUAGAGAUGUCAUAGAACACCGAUUGCGAAGGCAGCUGACGAAACUGUAACUGACACUGAGGCUCGAAAGUGCGGGGAUCAAACAGG